GUGGAUAUAGUCUAAAAGAUUUUAGAUUGUGAUUCUAAAGAUAAGGGUUAAAACCCCUUUAUCCACC
RNAcentral lists this transfer RNA (67 nucleotides) under Amolops hongkongensis (Hong Kong sucker frog). Its description in RNAcentral is "tRNA-His". It matches the Rfam family "tRNA". From Rfam's summary of the family: Transfer RNA (tRNA) molecules are approximately 80 nucleotides in length. Their secondary structure includes four short double-helical elements and three loops (D, anti-codon, and T loops). Further hydrogen bonds mediate the characteristic L-shaped molecular structure. tRNAs have two regions of fundamental functional importance: the anti-codon, which is responsible for specific mRNA codon recognition, and the 3' end, to which the tRNAs corresponding amino acid is attached (by aminoacyl-tRNA synthetases). tRNAs cope with the degeneracy of the genetic code in two manners: having more than one tRNA (with a specific anti-codon) for a particular amino acid; and 'wobble' base-pairing, i.e. permitting non-standard base-pairing at the 3rd anti-codon position. The record is from RNAcentral. Lineage: Eukaryota; Metazoa; Chordata; Amphibia; Anura; Ranidae.